UAAUGUGGAGAGAUUUGAUUGCUUGCAACCACUCUAAAAAAUGCUAAAAUAUAAA
RNAcentral lists this non-coding RNA (55 nucleotides) under human gut metagenome. The record is from RNAcentral.